RNAcentral lists this ribosomal RNA (958 nucleotides) under uncultured bacterium. RNAcentral's name for it is "bacterial SSU rRNA". It matches the Rfam family "Bacterial small subunit ribosomal RNA", at positions 61 to 1050 of the family's 1533-position model. The record is from RNAcentral.
GUCGAAUGGGUUUAGACCCAUGGCAGACGAGGUAGGAACACGUAGGUACAAACCCCAAAGUCAGGGAUAACUCGGCGAAAGUCGGGAUAAUACUUGAUAGUCCCAGCACCUUUUUAAGGUGCUGGGUAAAGAUUUAUCGCUUUGGGAUUGGCCUGCGUUCUAUCAGCUUGUUGGUAAGGUAACGGCUUACCAAGGCUACGACGGAUAGGGGAGGUGAGAGCCUGACCCCCACCGAUGGAACUGCGACACGGUCCAUACUCCUACGGGAGGCCGCAGUCGAGAAUCUUCCGCAAUGGACGAAAGUCUGACGGAGCGACGCCGCGUGGAGGAUGAAGUCCUUAGGGACGUAAACACCUUUUAUGAGGGAGGAAUUUUAUUGACGUUACCUCAUGAAUAAGGGGCUCCCAAUUCUGUGCCAGCAGGAGCGGUAAUACAGAAGCCCCGAGCGUUACCCGGAUUCACUGGGCGUAAAGGGUGCGUAGGCGGAUAUGUUAGUCAGGUGUUAAAACCUGGGGCUCAACCCCAGGAUCGCAUUUGAAACGGCAUAUCUAGAAGACGUGAGAGGUGAAUAGAACUCAGGGUGUAGGGGUGAAAUCCGUUGAUAUCCUGGGGAAUACCAAAUGCGAAGGCAGUUCACUGGCGCGAUCUUGACGCUGAGGCACGAAAGCGUGGGUAGCGAACGGGAUUAGAUACCCCGGUAGUCCACGCCCUAAACGCUGUCUGCUAGCUGUAGAGAGUAUCGACCCUCUCUGUGGCGUACGUAACCCGUUAAGCAGACCGCCUGGGUAGUACGAGCGCAAGCUUAAAACUCAAAGGAAUAGACGGGGGCUCGCACAAGCGGUGGAGCGCGUGACUUAAUUCGUCGCUAAGCGAAGAACCUUACCGAGGCUAGAUAUCCUACUGCACGACCUGGGAAACCAGGUAAGCUUUCGAACGUGUAGACAGGUGAUGCAUGGAC